AACGAACGCUGGCGGCAUGCCUAACACAUGCAAGUCGAACGAGACCUUCGGGUCUAGUGGCGCACGGGUGCGUAACGCGUGGGAAUCUGCCCUUGGGUUCGGAAUAACAGCGAGAAAUUGCUGCUAAUACCGGAUGAUGACGUAAGUCCAAAGAUUUAUCGCCCAAGGAUGAGCCCGCGUAGGAUUAGCUAGUUGGUGAGGUAAAGGCUCACCAAGGCGACGAUCCUUAGCUGGUCUGAGAGGAUGAUCAGCCACACUGGGACUGAGACACGGCCCAGACUCCUACGGGAGGCAGUAGUGGGGAAUAUUGGACAAUGGGCGAAAGCCUGAUCCAGCAAUGCCGCGUGAGUGAUGAAGGCCUUAGGGUUGUAAAGCUCUUUUACCCGGGAUGAUAAUGACAGUACCGGGAGAAUAAGCUCCGGCUAACUCCGUGCCAGCAGCCGCGGUAAU
RNAcentral lists this ribosomal RNA (450 nucleotides) under uncultured bacterium. RNAcentral describes it as "bacterial SSU rRNA". It matches the Rfam family "Bacterial small subunit ribosomal RNA", at positions 29 to 524 of the family's 1533-position model. The record is from RNAcentral.